GAUUUGCUUGAGUAGGUCCAUGUCUUUCUUGUACUGGGAGUCCUAGAGCUGAAUGCAGCAUGCCAGGUGGAGUGUCACAAGAGCAGAGUAAAGGAGAAGAAUCCCUUCCCUUAACCUGCUGGUUCAUGGGGUCUCUGUGAGAAAUACCAGCGCUGUGGUGUAAGGAAGGUGCAGUGAGGAGAACACCUGGUGGUGUGCAGACCAUUGACCAGCAGGACUUAACCACAUGUAUUGCAAACACUGCGUUCAAGCAUAAACUUCUUCCCUAAUGCUGGGCCAGAGCAGAAGUAAUGGGAGAGCAUGUGCUGUGUUGAGAGAAGUUAAGUGACAAAAGUGGAAGGAGAAAUAAUCUUACAUGACAUGGACUUGAGGCAGGGAAGAUGCAUCCUCAGACUCCAGGAUUACAUUUCUGGGAGUUGCUGUUCAACCAUGUUUGCCAGUCUGGAAUUACCUGAAGACCUGUUGCAUGCCACAAAGUACUGAAGUUGUGGAUUUUUUUUGGUAACAGUACUUAAGAAGCUCUGAGUGUGAGAAUGGAGGUCUCAUCUGGAGGAGUGAGUGCCCUUGUAACGGCUUGUGGUGGAGUGGGAAAAUGUGUAUCUUAACUAAACAUUGCUCACCGUAGAUGCAGGAAUAGCUUUUACCAUGGGUUGUGCUUCUACACACAUAACAUCUUAGAUUACUAUCAGUAUGCCAAGUAAAAUGUAUUGCAAAAUCUACACAUCUUAGAAAGUAAAAAACCAUCAGGUGUGUAUGACUUGAUUUACUGGAUUCAUUCUUGUCCAAGCUCAACAGGGCCAUGAGGGGAGUUAUAGGCUAGCACCGAAGGU
Long non-coding RNA from Neopsephotus bourkii (Bourke's parrot), 830 nucleotides. RefSeq lists it as uncharacterized. The record is from RefSeq and is a predicted model, not a curated record. The transcript is spliced from 3 exons. NCBI's taxonomy places the organism in Eukaryota, Metazoa, Chordata, Aves, Psittaciformes, Psittacidae.